GAAUCAUGUGAUGAGAAAAAACUGCAACAAUAUGAUGGAUUCGUUCCAUGAUUCUUAGUAUUUAAGUCUCUGAUGAUC
Medicago truncatula (barrel medic) is the source of this 78-nucleotide small nucleolar RNA. It matches the Rfam family "Small nucleolar RNA Z199". Rfam says of the family: snoZ199 is a C/D box small nucleolar RNA, which acts as a methylation guide RNA for sites on 18S and 25S rRNA. Rice snoZ199 is reported to be homologous to Arabidopsis snoR13. The record is from Rfam. Lineage: Eukaryota; Viridiplantae; Streptophyta; Magnoliopsida; Fabales; Fabaceae.